CUAGUAAAAAGAAAGGAAAACGUGAGCCUCCGCCGAUGUGGUGCUAGCCACCACCACCGAGCCCUAGCAGCAAAGGGAGUGGUGGCUUAUUCCACGGCGCAUCUCCACGCGUGCAGCAGCGACCCCGGGAGGAGCUCAAGCCGCAACGAUGGUCCACCGCGCCGGCGCCGUCGUCGACCGGCAGUGGAGGAGCAGCGGCGGCCAACGGCAGAUCGGCGUGUCAUGGGAGCAGACACGGCAGCUGUCACGGGCAGAGCAGAGCGAAGUUGGCAUGGCGGCUAGGCGGCUGUCCGGACUGGAUCCCGCCAUCACCACCAGCCCGCCUCGUUUGUCCGUGUCCAUCUCGGCGAAACCAAGGGUCUGCCUCGUGUCCUGCGAGGUGACACUCCACCGCCACCGCUCUGCUGCUUCCGCCCUACACUUCACUCCCUCCGGUGCCAUCCUCAGCUCCGACAAAAAGGACCUCUUGGACGUCAUUGCACAUGCUGGCCUCUUCCGACCCCGUGGCCACCGUGAUCAGGUAAUUGAUUUUGUGUUCCUGGAUUCGGGUAAGAAGCUAGUGACCUGCUCCAAGGACAAGGUUAUCUGGGUUUGGGACCUCAACACACAACACUGCCUUCAAAUUGUAAGGUGUCCAUCACAUCAAGAUAUGGUCGAUGGAUGUUGAUUCUAGCUAGAAGUUUUUGGUGUCUGUCUCGGCCGAUCAAGAGCUGUGGGUGUUCAAAAUCAGGCAAUCAGCUGAACAGGGUGAAGAUUGGAACAAAUGGGAUGCACUUCACCAUUGAUCUAUUGUGAUUCCUUUUCCCCUUUAAUAACGUGUACGUAUAGGGUAGUCAAGCGCCACAGGAUAUCAGCCUUUGUUGUGGAUGAGAGUGGGAUGAUCAAUCGGAUUGCCGGGGUAGUACAACAUUGAGUCAUUGGCAGUUGGGCUCAACAAGGACAAGGCGUUGUUCACCAUAGGGGUAUUAGGAACAGAGAAAAUACUCACACAAGGCAUGGAGCAGCUACAAACUUGUUAAUGUUAUACAGCGAGCAGCUUCCCUUGCGCCGUCAUCCAUCCACCAACAAGUCCAUGACCAUGCAUCAGAGAAUGAAAAGCAUCUUUCACGCUGCCAACGGGAUCUGGACCAAGAAGAGGAUCAGGAGGACGAAUACAGUGGACACUACUACUCAGCAAGAUACAGUUCAAACCCUGUAUCCUCCUGAUUGAUCUCCCUUCGCCCCUGUUUAAGAAUCAUGUUUCACCCAUUCAGUGUUGUCUUCAGAAUUAUAGACACCUCAUUCUAUAAGGAGGCCGCCACCAAGAAGAGCGAGGUUGUGUCAAUGGACUCAGCGACAAGUUGUAGAAAGAAACAAGGCUUAUGUUAGGCAAAGUUGAUUAGGUUGUACUACACACCAAGUGCCUCCAUAAGAAUCUAGAUAAAAUGCCAUAAAAGUUGAAGAGCCUAGCUUGGACAAGAAGGAACAACAUUGUAGUAUUAUCAAGCAUGAAGAUGAAGGUGCACGCGAAGAGAACAAGAACAGAGUUUGUAGUGGAGAUUUCCGCACUUUGAAGCCACCAUGAUGUCAUAUAAGAAGAUGGAUGAAAUAUACAACAUGGCAUUUUAUAAAUUUCGUCCAUAGCUUAUUAUUUGUAUUGCGCCACCUUAUUUUUUGGGCCAUGUCCAUGUAAUUUUCAAAUACUACUUCAUAGGCUGUUUUUAGAGUCCAUAUUAUAGGGGAAACGAACCGGGAGGUAUUUUAGUCCCACCUUGCCAAGGGUGGACGAAAUCCCCUCUUUUCCCCUAUAAAUAUAGCCCUUAAGGCAUCGUUUAGACUUGGGUUUUAUUUAGUUAAAAGUUAUCCAUCGCUGCAACUUCGUGUACUUCGUUUGUGUCCAAUGACCAGACCAAGACCGCUUAUGAAACCCCACUUUUAUCAAUACUUCAUGCAUAUUCGCAAUAUUCAGCUUGCAUUAAUUAACGUGGUUGUAGCAUUUUUUCACACAUAUAAAUCCAACCUAGCUCCACAUAUUUCUACACCGUGCAUAUAUACGUUCACCUGGCGAUCGCUUUACCCAACUUUUGGAGUUAUUUGACACCGCUGGUUGCCGAUCACCUCCUGCUGCAUGGUAAGAAUUUGCCAGACUUUGAUUUUUUCUCUACUGUGAGCGUUUUAUCACCACAUCCCAGUAGUUCAUAGGAACGGAUUUUGUUUCCUGUUUCUACUAAUCAUGGCAGGUUCCGGAAUCGAUUGGGCUUCAUCGAUUGUGGGAGACGUGCCAUCACCUCAGACAAUACAGCCACCAUCACAAGAGGUACAAAGACGUCAGAAUACGCACAAACAGGUGACGAAACUUGAAUCUGUGUCAUCAAGAGGAAUAGAUCAGGAGAGGGCGAGGUAUCAGAAGGUUGAAGAACUGAAAGAAACAAUAAGAACAACAGAAGACGCAAAAAAUCAUUCAUGCAAAGAGUAUAAGCUUAUUAAGGUAAAUCACCCGCGUGUUGUACUUGAUAGUAGUCUUCUGAGAUGUGAGCUACUAUUUAUUUCUAAACUGUACAAUUCAAGGUUGUUAUGAUGUAAGGUUAGAUUACACCAUUUCGUAGCAUUUACUGAUCGAUCAUUGGUUUGCCCCUUUUUGAGGUAUCCUGCUUUUCAAGUAUGCGGUGCUGUAGUGAACUAGUGAUUGAUUCAUCUGUGGAUUAGUUUACCUCUUUCUAAGGUAUCUUGCUAAUUAUCCUAAAGCCAUGCUAUUCCUUUUUGUUUGUGUUAAGCAGGUAACUUGUAAUGGUUGCUAAUUAUAUAUUCAUGUGCACCAGAUUAUGCCCUUUUGACUUCGUAUCACUUUACUUAUACUUAAUUACAAGCUAAGUAUCUGUUUACUUGUUUCCAUUAAGAAAAGUAGCUUAAAAAAUAUGUGAAGGUUAUAUAAGAUCAAAAUAUUAACAUGUAAAUCUGAAAUAUAAACAUCAGUGAGCAAUGCUCCUGCAUCAGGGACUCAGGGUAUAAAUGUGCGUUUUUUAGAUUGAGUACAUUCUAUUCCAUUAACCGCUACGACCAGCAAUAUCGUCUCCAGCUACCAAACUGAGCACAAAGUCAGGAUCACCAUCUAGCUAGCCAAACACACGUCAGCGACCUUGUAACAAUGCACCUUUGUUUCUCAGAUAUUUUUUUGACCUGUAUACUAUUUAUUUGGUUUGUGUUCCUGUUCUUUAUCGAAAAAUACAUCCAUAUUGUUUAUAUAAUUACCUCUCUGUAAAAAUUGAUGUUUUCAGAGAUCCGGUGAAGAAAUGUCCUUCAUCGCUGAGACUAUACUAUUGGACAGUGUCAUUGCUUCUGAAUCAACUAAAGUAUCUAUAAUAUAAACCUGUUGCCUAUGUGUUCAUAUGUGCUUAUCAGUGCAAUAAGCAUCUUUCAUGUCUCUGUUUCUAGCCAUCUGAUUGAUUUCAAUUUCUUUCUGAUAUGCAUCGCGUUAUAAUGAGUUUAUCCACGACCACCUCAUCACUAACAUCUGCAACAGCAAAGUCACCGCCAACCUAGCCGCAGCCGUAGCCAAGGCUGGCAUAACUGGAUGCGAGAAGACAAAUGGUAAUCUUCUGUAUGCAGGAUGUCACAUGUUCUACAAUCUUUGGUGUUUCAGGAUCAUUUGGACAAGUUUACAGAGGAGAAUGACAUGGAACAGUAAGUAUUUCAGUUUAAAUGUGCUCUUAUAGUGUUGAAAUUUAUUAAUUAGUUCCUUGGCGCGGAACACCUCUUAGAUCAUUGUAAUCAGACGGUUUAUAUACUAAUUUUCCGAGUAUUAGAUUCAAGCACUAACUCUGUUCAAAGUUCAGCUACAAUAAUCAAAUCUUCAAGGAUGGUACUGUCGUCUUGAUAAUUUUUCAGCAAAACUGUAUCCCACUACUCGGUGUAUUAUCAUUGGCUUUUGUCAUUAUGAUCCCAUGUCUUCAUGAACCCUACACACUGUAAUGCCUUCCAGAUUUCAAUCCAUACUGGUUACAUUACCAGGUCUAUUCUUAUCUAAUUUUUAUAGCUCGCUUGUCUUGCUGAGAUGGAGGUGAAGUAUCGAUUAAAGUUCUGGAAAUUGGCCUCCCACUGGGAGGAAUUGCAAAGUUGUUUGCUUAGGAUUUGCUCAUGAUUGUUGAUUAGAACGAACAUAAUUGUCCAUUGUCCUGCUCUCAUUAGAACCCUGUACAACUAGAUCUUGCACUGUCGCCCUUGGAUAUUGGGAAGUCUGAAGAAGCCUGUGGUUUAGGGUUCUUGCGAAUCAUGCUGGUCGUUCAGCGCGUCUGGGCAUUGGAGUGGGCCAACUACCUGACGACAGGCAAGAUGGAGAUGCUCUCUGAGCAGCAGUUGCUGCGACCAUGAGCUGAGUAAGAGCCAGCAACCUCAAGGAACAAUAACCAUUCAAGAUUAAUGCACAUUUGGCUUGCCGUGGCCUGGGCGUCAUAAAAAAUGGCAAGGACGUCACUGAGGCUGCCUUGGAUGCUCUUGCCAACCAGUUGAAGGAGUAGCUGAAGCUGCAAGACAUUGUCGCGCUCCGAGAAAUCUUCAGGCUCGAUGACGAGCAGGCCGUGGCGAUCAAGCAGGGUGCCCUUGUCAACCUUGGAGUUGUUGAUGCUCUAGAUCAUGAAAGAGAGAGUAUUCAGGCCACUGAUGUAUAAGCCCCCUUCUGUUUAUACAUGACCUGUUGGGGAAGAUCAACUCUAAUGACAGCACAAUGCACUUGUUCU
This is a long non-coding RNA of Triticum aestivum (bread wheat), 4712 nucleotides long. RefSeq lists it as uncharacterized. The record is from RefSeq and is a predicted model, not a curated record. NCBI's taxonomy places the organism in Eukaryota, Viridiplantae, Streptophyta, Magnoliopsida, Poales, Poaceae. The transcript has 14 exons.